GACGAACGCUGGCGGCGUGCCUAAUACAUGCCAGUUGAGCGCUGAAGGUUGGUACUUGUACCGACUGGAUGAGCAGCGAACGGGUGAGUAACGCGUGGGGAAUCUGCCUUUGAGCGGGGGACAACAUUUGGAAACGAAUGCUAAUACCGCAUAAAAACUUUAAACACAAGUUUUAAGUUUGAAAGAUGCAAUUGCAUCACUCAAAGAUGAUCCCGCGUUGUAUUAGCUAGUUGGUGAGGUAAAGGCUCACCAAGGCGAUGAUACAUAGCCGACCUGAGAGGGUGGUCGGCCACAAUGGGAAUGAGACACGGCCCAAACUCCUACGGGGAGCAGCAGGAGGGAAUCUUCCGCAAUGGACGAAAGGCUGACCGGGCAACGCCGCGGGAGUGAAGAAGGGUUUCGGGUCGUAAAACUCUGUUGGUAGAGAAGAACGUUGGGGAGAGUGGAAAGCUCAUCAAGUGACGGUAACUACCCAGAAAGGCACGGCUAACUACGUG
Molecule: ribosomal RNA, 497 nt
Filed under: uncultured bacterium
Lineage: Bacteria
Description: partial 16S ribosomal RNA
Rfam family: Bacterial small subunit ribosomal RNA
Source: RNAcentral